Molecule: long non-coding RNA, 578 nt
Filed under: Phascolarctos cinereus (koala)
Lineage: Eukaryota; Metazoa; Chordata; Mammalia; Diprotodontia; Phascolarctidae
Description: lncRNA (ENSPCIG00000016344.2)
Source: RNAcentral
CUCUUUUUGGUUAGGUCAGCAAUAGGAGCAGGGACCACUUUUUAUACAGGAGCUCAUUAUUAAGUUGGAGACUUUCCUGUGGCCCCCUUGCCCUCCCCUGCAUUACCUAGUGUCAAGCAGCAUAAUGCCAUUCAUUUUUUCCUUUGUUGGCAUCCUCACCAUCAAGAACCUUGUUGCCUUGAAUGAAAUGUCAGCUCCCUCCCAGAGGAUGCCUAGGAUGACCAUUGCAGAGUGGGCAUUUGGAGAUAAUGAGGAAGAAGAUGAAGAUGAACCUAGAAUGAAUCAUCCCUAUAGUUAAUGAAGUGGUGGAAGUAAAAUGAAUUGGAGUGAGUGCCAUCCCACUGAUUUUAGGCAUCUGAAGCUUGCUUUCCCAAGGAACUGGCUUCUCUGAAUAUGCAUUUCUUUUUUGCCUAUUAAACACUGCUUUCUACCCCCUUCACUGCCCCUGAUUCUGAUCUACUAUCUCCCACUUUUUUUCUAUGUGGUUUUGAACAAACUAUUAGCUCUCCAAGCCCAGCUUUUCUAAGUGAAUAUAAGCUCCUCGAGAACGGGGGAAUGUCCUUGUUUUUGUAUCCCUA